RNAcentral lists this ribosomal RNA (1349 nucleotides) under Candidatus Phytoplasma sacchari. RNAcentral's name for it is "bacterial SSU rRNA". It matches the Rfam family "Bacterial small subunit ribosomal RNA", at positions 148 to 1492 of the family's 1533-position model. Lineage: Bacteria; Bacillati; Mycoplasmatota; Mollicutes; Acholeplasmatales; Acholeplasmataceae. The record is from RNAcentral.
AAUUGGAAACAGUUGCUAAGACUGGAUAGGAAAUAAAAAGGCAUCUUUUUAUUUUUAAAAGACCUUUUUCGGAAGGUAUGCUUAAAGAGGGGCUUGCGUCACAUUAGUUAGUUGGCAGGGUAAAGGCCUACCAAGACUAUGAUGUGUAGCUGGACUGAGAGGUUGAACAGCCACAUUGGGACUGAGACACGGCCCAAACUCCUACGGGAGGCAGCAGUAGGGAAUUUUCGGCAAUGGAGGAAACUCUGACCGAGCAACGCCGCGUGAACGAUGAAGUAUUUCGGUAUGUAAAGUUCUUUUAUUGAAGAAGAAAAAAUAGUGGAAAAACUAUCUUGACGAUAUUCAAUGAAUAAGCCCCGGCAAACUAUGUGCCAGCAGCCGCGGUAAUACAUAGGGGGCGAGCGUUAUCCGGAAUUAUUGGGCGUAAAGGGUGCGUAGGCGGUUUAAUAAGUCUAUAGUUUAAUUUCAGUGCUUAACACUGUCCUGCUAUAGAAACUAUUAGACUAGAGUGAGAUAGAGGCAAGUGGAAUUCCAUGUGUAGCGGUAAAAUGCGUAAAUAUAUGGAGGAACACCAGAGGCGUAGGCGGCUUGCUGGGUCUUUACUGACGCUGAGGCACGAAAGCGUGGGGAGCAAACAGGAUUAGAUACCCUGGUAGUCCACGCCGUAAACGAUGAGUACUAAGUGUCGGGAUUACUCGGUACUGAAGUUAACACAUUAAGUACUCCGCCUGAGUAGUACGUACGCAAGUAUGAAACUUAAAGGAAUUGACGGGACUCCGCACAAGCGGUGGAUCAUGUUGUUUAAUUCGAAGAUACACGAAAAACCUUACCAGGUCUUGACAUACUCUGCAAAGCUAUAGCAAUAUAGUGGAGGUUAUCAGGGAUACAGGUGGUGCAUGGUUGUCGUCAGCUCGUGUCGUGAGAUGUUAGGUUAAGUCCUAAAACGAGCGCAACCCUUGUCAUUAGUUGCCAGCAUGUCAUGAUGGGCACUUUAAUGAGACUGCCAAUGAAAAAUUGGAGGAAGGUGAGGAUCACGUCAAAUCAUCAUGCCCCUUAUGAUCUGGGCUACAAACGUGAUACAAUGGCUGUUACAAAGAGUAGCUGAAACGCAAGUUUAUAGCCAAUCUCAUAAAAGCAGUCUCAGUUCGGAUUGAAGUCUGCAACUCGACUUCAUGAAGUUGGAAUCGCUAGUAAUCGCGAAUCAGCAUGUCGCGGUGAAUACGUUCUCGGGGUUUGUACACACCGCCCGUCAAACCACGAAAGUUGGUAAUACUCAAAAACGGUAGCCUAACUUCUUCGGAAGAGGGAACCGUCUAAGGUAGGAUCGAUGAUUGGGGUUAAGUCGUAAC